GACGAACGCUGGCGGCGUGCUUAACACAUGCAAGUCGAACGGAAAGGCCUGCUUUCCCUUGUGGAUUGCGGGUACUCGAGUGGCGAACGGGUGAGUAACACGUGAGUGAUCUGCCCCCAACUUGGGUAUAAGCCUGGGAAACUGGGUCUAAUUCCCGAUAGGACUGCAGGGUGGUGCCUGUGGUGGAAAACGAUUUUCUAGUGGUUGGGGAUGAGCUCGCGGCCUAUCAGCUUGUCGGUGGGGUAAUGGCCUACCAAGGCGGCGACGGGUAGCCGGCCUGGGAGGGUGGACGGCCACAUUGGGGCUGAGAUACGGCCCAGACUCCUACGGGAGGCAGCAGUGGGGAAUAUUGCACGAUGGGCGGAAGCCUGAUGCAGCGACGCCGCGUGGGGGAUGACGGCCUUCGGGUUGUAAACUCCUUUCGACCGCGAGGAAGCCACCUGGUUGGAAGGGUGGUGACGGUAGUGGUAGAAGAAGCACCGGCUAACUACGUG
This 494-nucleotide ribosomal RNA is filed under the name uncultured bacterium. RNAcentral describes it as "partial 16S ribosomal RNA". It matches the Rfam family "Bacterial small subunit ribosomal RNA", at positions 28 to 507 of the family's 1533-position model. The record is from RNAcentral.